RNAcentral lists this ribosomal RNA (253 nucleotides) under uncultured bacterium. Its description in RNAcentral is "partial 16S ribosomal RNA". It matches the Rfam family "Bacterial small subunit ribosomal RNA", at positions 524 to 776 of the family's 1533-position model. The record is from RNAcentral.
UACGAACUGUGCGAACGUUAUUCGGAAUCACUGGGCUUACAGGGUGCGUAGGCGGCCUUUCAAGUCAGGUGUGAAAGCCCCCGGCUCAACCGGGGAACUGCGCUUGAAACUGAAAGGCUCGAGUCAGCUAGAGGUACACGGAACUUCCAGUGGAGCGGUGAAAUGUGUUGAUAUUGGAAGGAACACCGGAGGCGAAAGCGGUGUACUGGGGCUGGUCUGACGCUGAGGCACGAAAGCCAGGGGAGCGAACGGG